UUUUCAGAUUCCUGUGGAACAGACAACCAGUCAUACAAGGGCUUUGCCAUUUGGGAAAAGUCCUGAAUGUACCUUCUAUAGUAGAUGAGGAAACCUAGCUGCUUGAGAGAAACUUCAUCAGGAACAGCCCAAAAUAUGGUCGCACCAUUGCCCAGUGACAUGAAGGUAAAGACAAUGGAUAUCCGUAUAUUCGAGAUGACCUCAAACUGCGGAAAUCAGAGCUGUGUAUCAAAUCUCAAUGUGCACAUUGCUAUGAGAAAAGGCAAUAUGUAAAAACAAUUCAGGAAAUGUGAUAUCGGGAGGUGCUAUGUGCUGAGUAAGGAUCUCAUUAGUAAGAUAUUGCAGUGGGGGCACCAUAUGAUGAUUUUGGCAAGGUGUUCAUAUAGCACGGACCCAAGAAUGGAAUAAAUACAAAGCCAGCACAGGCCCAGAUCCUCGGCUACAGCAAAGCUCAAGAAGGUGUCUGCACAAAAGUGGCUUUUGGCUCCUUUUUCUGCUUCCCCCAAUCCUGGACUGGCUGUGUGUUUAAAGGAGCCUGAGGAUUCCCAGGAAGCCAUUGUGGCACACAACAGUCACCAGGGCACAGGGAAGCCCAUCCAUAUCCUCUAUGCCGGCAGCAGGGAGGGGUGAUGGUAGAGGAUAUAUCAUGGUGCUUAGAUACCACAGUGAUGGGAAGCUUCAUAAAACCCUAAGAGGGACAUCCAAACUACCCAAUGAUCCUACUACACUGGUACAGUCUUCCUGGUUGGCUACAGUGGCUUUAGGUUUAGUUUGCACUUGACAGAGUGGCCACAUUGGCACAAAGCAUGCACUCAAUCUGGCCUAUAACAUUUAAGGGCCAAAUUCAGAAUUUCCUUGCAUCUGCCAGACCUAAGGUGGGGAAAGUCCCACCUGAAAGAAGCGCUUCUUCAGAGGCAUGGCACUUUGGAAAAGUGCAAGAGAUCUGCUGCUUUACACAGGUGCUCAGAUUUCAGUGUUUUAUAGCAUCAUAAUCUGAUUAGUUCUACAGAGGCUCCUCCAGGA
This is a long non-coding RNA of Mauremys mutica (yellowpond turtle), 1023 nucleotides long. RefSeq lists it as uncharacterized. Lineage: Eukaryota; Metazoa; Chordata; Testudines; Geoemydidae. The transcript is spliced from 5 exons. The record is from RefSeq and is a predicted model, not a curated record.